GGGGGAGUGGCGGAAUUGGCAGACGCGCAUGACUUAGGAUCAUGUCUCUUGCGAGGUGAGGGUUCGAGUCCCUCCUUCCCCA
This 82-nucleotide transfer RNA is filed under the name Anaerolineae bacterium CFX9. RNAcentral's name for it is "tRNA-Leu". It matches the Rfam family "tRNA". From Rfam's summary of the family: Transfer RNA (tRNA) molecules are approximately 80 nucleotides in length. Their secondary structure includes four short double-helical elements and three loops (D, anti-codon, and T loops). Further hydrogen bonds mediate the characteristic L-shaped molecular structure. tRNAs have two regions of fundamental functional importance: the anti-codon, which is responsible for specific mRNA codon recognition, and the 3' end, to which the tRNAs corresponding amino acid is attached (by aminoacyl-tRNA synthetases). tRNAs cope with the degeneracy of the genetic code in two manners: having more than one tRNA (with a specific anti-codon) for a particular amino acid; and 'wobble' base-pairing, i.e. permitting non-standard base-pairing at the 3rd anti-codon position. The record is from RNAcentral. Lineage: Bacteria; Bacillati; Chloroflexota; Anaerolineae. RNAcentral also lists the same sequence under 1 other name.